GGGGAAUAUUGCACAAUGGGCGAAAGCCUGAUGCAGCAACGCCGCGUGAGCGAUGAAGGCCUUCGGGUCGUAAAGCUCUGUCCUCAAGGAAGAUAAUGACGGUACUUGAGGAGGAAGCCCCGGCUAACUACGUGCCAGCAGCCGCGGUAAUACGUAGGGGGCUAGCGUUAUCCGGAUUUACUGGGCGUAAAGGGUGCGUAGGUGGUUUCUUAAGUCAGGAGUGAAAGGCUACGGCUUAACCGUAGUAAGCUCUUGAAACUGGGAAACUUGAGUGCAGGAGAGGAAAGUGGAAUUCCUAGUGUAGCGGUGAAAUGCGUAGAUAUUAGGAGGAACACCAGUAGCGAAGGCGGCUUUCUGGACUGUAACUGACACUGAGGCACGAAAGCGUGGGGAGCAAAC
Molecule: ribosomal RNA, 399 nt
Filed under: uncultured bacterium
Lineage: Bacteria
Description: bacterial SSU rRNA
Rfam family: Bacterial small subunit ribosomal RNA
Source: RNAcentral